CAUCAAAGUGGAGGCUAUUGUAACUGAAGAGAACUGGAAAGUUCCACCGUAGAAGGUAAUAGUCCUGUAAGUGAAACGAGAAGACCACGAGUUAUGAUCCAGAGUACCACGAGACACGUGAAACCUUGUGGGAAGCAGGGAGGACCACCUCCCAAGGCUAAAUACUACCUGAUGACCGAUAGUGAAGCAGUACCGUGAGGGAAAGGUGAAAAGAACCCCGGGAGGGGAGUGAAAUAGAACCUGAAACCGUGUGCCUACAACCGCUCAGAGCCCCUUAUGAGGGUGAUGAGGUGCUUUUUGUAGAACGAGCCAACGAGUUACGGUAUGUAGCAAGGUUAAGUACUUAAGGUACGGAGCCGAAGGGAAACCGAGUCUGAAUAGGGCGACUAGUUGCAUGCCGUAGACCCGAAACCGGGUGACCUAUCCAUGGCCAGGUUGAAGCGAGGGUAAAACCUCGUGGAGGACCGAACCACGUUGCUGUUGAAAAAGCAUGGGAUGAGCUGUGGAUAGCGGAGAAAUUCCAAUCGAACCCGGAGAUAGCUGGUUCUCUCCGAAAUAGCUUUAGGGCUAGCGUCGAGUAUGAGUAGUGGAGGUAGAGCACUGAAUGGGCUAGGGGGCAUAGCGCUUACCGAACCUUAUCAAACUCCGAAUGCCACAUACUUUGAGCUCGGCAGUCAGACUACGAAUGAUAAGAUCCGUGGUCAAAAGGGAAACAGCCCAGAUCGUCAGCUAAGGUCCCAAAGUGUAAGUUAAGUGGGAAAGGAUGUGAGAUUUCUAAGACAACUAGGAUGUUGGCUUAGAAGCAGCCAUUCAUUAAAAGAGUGCGUAAUAGCUCACUAGUCGAGAGAUCUUGCGCCGAAAAUGUAACGGGGCUAAACUUACC
This 883-nucleotide ribosomal RNA is filed under the name Clostridium perfringens. RNAcentral's name for it is "partial 23S ribosomal RNA". It matches the Rfam family "Bacterial large subunit ribosomal RNA", at positions 310 to 1192 of the family's 2925-position model. The record is from RNAcentral. Lineage: Bacteria; Bacillati; Bacillota; Clostridia; Eubacteriales; Clostridiaceae.